UGGGGAAUAUUGGACAAUGGGCGCAAGCCUGAUCCAGCCAUGCCGCGUGGAUGAUGAAGGCCCUAGGGUUGUAAAGUCCUUUCGACGGGGAAGAUAAUGACGGUACCCGUAGAAGAAGCCCCGGCUAACUUCGUGCCAGCAGCCGCGGUAAUACGAAGGGGGCUAGCGUUGCUCGGAAUCACUGGGCGUAAAGCGCACGUAGGCGGACUCUUAAGUCAGGGGUGAAAUCCUGGAGCUCAACUCCAGAACUGCCUUUGAUACUGAGAGCCUUGAGUUCGGGAGAGGUGAGUGGAACUGCGAGUGUAGAGGUGAAAUUCGUAGAUAUUCGCAAGAACACCAGUGGCGAAGGCGGCUCACUGGCCCGAUACUGACGCUGAGGUGCGAAAGCGUGGGGAGCAAACAGG
RNAcentral lists this ribosomal RNA (404 nucleotides) under uncultured bacterium. RNAcentral's name for it is "bacterial SSU rRNA". It matches the Rfam family "Bacterial small subunit ribosomal RNA", at positions 355 to 776 of the family's 1533-position model. The record is from RNAcentral.